Long non-coding RNA from Larimichthys crocea (large yellow croaker), 142 nucleotides. RefSeq lists it as uncharacterized. Lineage: Eukaryota; Metazoa; Chordata; Actinopteri; Sciaenidae. The transcript is spliced from 3 exons. The record is from RefSeq and is a predicted model, not a curated record.
CCGCCACGAUGAAAUAUUUGGCUCUGGCUUUGCUGUUAUGUGCUUUGGCGUCACUGUCAAAUGCAGACUGCUACUCUGUAGAAGUUAAACCAAAUGCCACCCAUUGUAUGGACAAAAUGGACAAUCAAUGGCAUCCUGUAGG